CCUACGGGUGGCAGCAGUGGGGAAUAUUGCACAAUGGGGGAAACCCUGAUGCAGCGACGCCGCGUGAGUGAAGAAGUCUUUCUGUAUGUAAAGCUCUUUCAGCAGGGAAGAAGCCCGACGUUACCUUACUCCGCCGCCCCGGCUAACUACGUGCCAGCAGCCGCGGUCAUACGGAGGGGGCAAGCGUUAUCCGGAUUUACUGGGUGUAAAGGGAGCGUAGACGGUAUGGCAAGUCUGAAGUGAAAUCCCAGGGCUUAACCCUGGGACUGCUUUGGAAACUGUUAGACUAGAGUGCUGGAGAGGUAAGUGGAAUUCCUGGUGUAGCGGUGAAAUGCGUAGAUAUUAGGAGGAACACCAGUGGCGAAGGCGGCUUACUGGACAGUAACUGACGUUGAGGCUCGAAAGCGUGGGGAGCAAACAGGAUUAGAUACCCCUGUAGUC
RNAcentral lists this ribosomal RNA (441 nucleotides) under uncultured bacterium. RNAcentral's name for it is "partial 16S ribosomal RNA". It matches the Rfam family "Bacterial small subunit ribosomal RNA", at positions 338 to 795 of the family's 1533-position model. The record is from RNAcentral.